The submitters of this non-coding RNA (66 nucleotides) gave its source as unclassified sequences. The record is from Rfam.
UAAGGGACAGCGCAACCGCUCAUCCGACAAGCCGCACACUUGUGUUGCUAGGGAAGGUGGUAGUGC